UGGGGAAUAUUGGACAAUGGGGGCAACCCUGAUCCAGCCAUGCCGCGUGUGUGAAGAAGGCCUUUUGGUUGUAAAGCACUUUAAGCAGGGAGGAGAGGCUAAUGGUUAAUACCCAUUAGAUUAGACGUUACCUGCAGAAUAAGCACCGGCUAACUCUGUGCCAGCAGCCGCGGUAAUACAGAGGGUGCGAGCGUUAAUCGGAAUUACUGGGCGUAAAGCGAGUGUAGGUGGCUCAUUAAGUCACAUGUGAAAUCCCCGGGCUUAACCUGGGAACUGCAUGUGAUACUGGUGGUGCUAGAAUAUGUGAGAGGGAAGUAGAAUUCCAGGUGUAGCGGUGAAAUGCGUAGAGAUCUGGAGGAAUACCGAUGGCGAAGGCAGCUUCCUGGCAUAAUAUUGACACUGAGAUUCGAAAGCGUGGGUAGCAAACAGGAUUAGAUACCCUGGUAGUCCACGCCGUAAACGAUGUCUACUAGCCGUUGGGGGUCCUUGAGACUUUAGUGGCGCAGUUAACGCGAUAAGU
RNAcentral lists this ribosomal RNA (520 nucleotides) under uncultured bacterium. Its description in RNAcentral is "partial 16S ribosomal RNA". It matches the Rfam family "Bacterial small subunit ribosomal RNA", at positions 355 to 865 of the family's 1533-position model. The record is from RNAcentral.